GGACCGGGGGCGGUACCCGGCGCCUCCACCAAAGUAUAAUCAACAAAGAUUAUAUUUUUAUGGGGGCGAAACAGGAUCGACAAGGGUGUAAAGAUUGCUCUUUUACUCGGCAUUGUACCACCGUUAUCGGGCUAGAUGAAUAGUUGCAAAUGACAACUAUGCGGAGGCACGUCUCAUCGCUGCUUAAGCGAUGCGAAGGCUUCAAAUUAAGUCUUAAACCGUCGCAG
RNAcentral lists this transfer-messenger RNA (227 nucleotides) under Bartonella clarridgeiae. RNAcentral describes it as "partial ssrA". It matches the Rfam family "Alphaproteobacteria transfer-messenger RNA", at positions 88 to 310 of the family's 355-position model. From Rfam's summary of the family: Bacterial tmRNA, also known as 10Sa RNA or SsrA, is named for its dual tRNA and mRNA-like properties. Its role is to liberate the mRNA from a stalled ribosome. Lineage: Bacteria; Pseudomonadati; Pseudomonadota; Alphaproteobacteria; Hyphomicrobiales; Bartonellaceae. The record is from RNAcentral.